GCCCGGGUGGCGGAAUUGGUAGACGCGCACGACUCAAAAUCGUGUUCCUUCGGGAGUGAGAGUUCGAUUCUCUCCCCGGGCACCA
RNAcentral lists this transfer RNA (85 nucleotides) under Candidatus Peregrinibacteria bacterium. Its description in RNAcentral is "tRNA-Leu". It matches the Rfam family "tRNA". Rfam says of the family: Transfer RNA (tRNA) molecules are approximately 80 nucleotides in length. Their secondary structure includes four short double-helical elements and three loops (D, anti-codon, and T loops). Further hydrogen bonds mediate the characteristic L-shaped molecular structure. tRNAs have two regions of fundamental functional importance: the anti-codon, which is responsible for specific mRNA codon recognition, and the 3' end, to which the tRNAs corresponding amino acid is attached (by aminoacyl-tRNA synthetases). tRNAs cope with the degeneracy of the genetic code in two manners: having more than one tRNA (with a specific anti-codon) for a particular amino acid; and 'wobble' base-pairing, i.e. permitting non-standard base-pairing at the 3rd anti-codon position. The record is from RNAcentral. Lineage: Bacteria; Candidatus Peregrinibacteriota.